Long non-coding RNA from Oxyura jamaicensis (ruddy duck), 558 nucleotides. RefSeq lists it as uncharacterized. The transcript has 3 exons. Lineage: Eukaryota; Metazoa; Chordata; Aves; Anseriformes; Anatidae. The record is from RefSeq and is a predicted model, not a curated record.
UUCAAGGUAGUGGAACUAAAACCAGAAACAAAGGACUACAGAGAGGUGGCAGAAAGGUUUCUGAAGACUACUCAGCUUCUAAAAAUUGAAAAGGUAUUUAAUGUGAUGUUUAUGACCUUCAAACCUGUUGCAAAAUAUCUCCACUCUCAAGAAGAAGCUACUUCUGACACCAAGAAUUAUGAUGCUGAAAACAAGCCAACUGCAAACUUUGGAAAUGGAACUUACUUGCUGUUAAUGCCUGCUAUUCUGCCCACAAUGCCUAUUCUAAACUAGAUGUGGAUGGAAAGAAGUACACGUACGUGGCUCGAGUACUUGUUGGAGAAUAUUCUCAAGGACAAGAGGAUCAAUUACUCCAUCAGCAAAAAGUGCUAGCAGCUCCAUGGAUCUGUUUGAUAGUUCAACUGAUAAUGUAACCAAUCCAUCCAUGUUUAUCAUAAUUAAUGACAUUCAAGCUUACCCAGAAUACCUUACCACUUUCACUAGAUGAGCAUUUUGAUUGCAGCCAAGUUUUCAUGUCUCUUCAUUUUAUAAAUCUGUCCUGCACAUUACAAUAUAUAU